This is a small nuclear RNA of Dermacentor silvarum, 183 nucleotides long. RefSeq annotates it as U2 spliceosomal RNA. The transcript has a single exon. The record is from RefSeq and is a predicted model, not a curated record. Lineage: Eukaryota; Metazoa; Arthropoda; Arachnida; Ixodida; Ixodidae.
AUUGCCGACGGGGGUCAAAGUGUAGUAUCUGUUCUUAUCAGCUAAAUAUCUGAUACGAGUUGUAUUUGGACAAAAGAUAUUAAACUUAUUUGUGCAAGUUGGCGGGGUGCUUGAAGCCGGCUUUACCACCGCCGUGGGUCGGCCCGGUAUUGCACGAUCUUCAGGAGUUUUGGUCUACGCCCA